CCGAGGAGUCCUGGCCGUUCGCGAGUCGUAGGGGCCCCCACUGACUAACCCCGAAGGCGUAGCGAAAGCGAGAGAGCGUGUUGGAGGGCAUCGACCGGGAGAGGUGUCGUGGCAAAGUCGUGCGGGUUGACGUCGUGGAGAAGAGAGGGUCGCGGCCUCGGUCGUUUCUCUUGAUUCUCUAGCCUCACUCGCCCUCCGAGCCGUGCCCGAUCCCGCCGGUGCGGUGUCUCGUCCUCCGCGUCGUCCUCUCACCGUGAAAUGUUGCCUCCAGUCGGCGGUGACUAGGCGCGGCGACGACGUUUGCGCGGUUGUUUCCUUGGUUCUCCAUGGGAUUUGCGGGGCAUCAGCCGUCAUCCUCCUACCGCCCAUCGGUGAGAUCCCGCGGCUUGAACUAGUCCGAUUUCCUCGUCGAGUUUAGGCACUGCACGCGGGCGCAUCACCCCCGGGUCGGCGGUGAAAACCGUUUCCGAGUACGACUCGGCCGACUCCGGUGUAGCGAGCGGCCAGGGACCCGAAAGAUGGCGAUCCACGCCCGGUCGGGAUGAAGCCAGAGGAAACUCUGGUGGAAGUCCGAAGCGCCUCUGACGUGCAAAUCGAUCGUCGGAACCGGGUGUAGGGGCGAAAGACCAAUCGAGCCGUCUA
RNAcentral lists this ribosomal RNA (642 nucleotides) under Sepiolina nipponensis. Its description in RNAcentral is "partial 28S ribosomal RNA". The stretch from base 509 to 642 matches the Rfam family "Eukaryotic large subunit ribosomal RNA", at positions 813 to 946 of the family's 3401-position model. Lineage: Eukaryota; Metazoa; Mollusca; Cephalopoda; Sepiida; Sepiolidae. The record is from RNAcentral.